RNAcentral lists this ribosomal RNA (524 nucleotides) under uncultured bacterium. RNAcentral's name for it is "partial 16S ribosomal RNA". It matches the Rfam family "Bacterial small subunit ribosomal RNA", at positions 28 to 523 of the family's 1533-position model. The record is from RNAcentral.
GACGAACGCUGGCGGCGUGCCUAAUACAUGCAAGUCGAACGCUUCUUUCCUCCCGAGUGCUUGCACUCAAUUGGAAAGAGGAGUGGCGGACGGGUGAGUAACACGUGGGUAACCUACCCAUCAGAGGGGGAUAACACUUGGAAACAGGUGCUAAUACAGCAUAAAAGUUUAUGCCGCAUGGUAUCAGAGUGAAAGGCGCUUUCGGGUGUCGCUGAUGGAUGGACCCGCGGUGCAUUAGCCAGUUGGUGAGGUAACGGGUCACCAAGGCCACGAUGCAGAGCCGACCUGAGAGGGUGAUCGGCCACACUGGGACUGAGACACGGCCCAGACUCCUACGGGAGGCAGCAGUAGGGAAUCUUCGGCAAUGGACGGAAGUCUGACCGAGCAACGCCGCGUGAGUGAAGAAGGUUUUCGGAUCGUAAAACUCUGUUGUUAGAGAAGAACAAGGACGUUAGUAACUGAACGUCCCCUGACAGUAUCUAACCAGAAAGCCACGGCUAACUACGUGCCAGCCGCCGCCGUAA